UACGGAGGGUGCAAGCGUUGUCCGGAUUUAUUGGGUUUAAAGGGUGCGUAGGCGGCCCGUUAAGUCAGCGGUGAAAUCCCAGGGCUCAACCCUGGAACCGCCGUUGAUACUGGCGGGCUUGAGUUCGGUGAAGGCGGGCGGAACUGGCGGUGUAGCGGUGAAAUGCUUAGAUACCGCCAAGAACCCCGAUUGCGUAGGCAGCUCGCUGUGCCGAAACUGACGCUGAGGCACGAAAGCGUGGGGAGCGAACAGG
This 253-nucleotide ribosomal RNA is filed under the name uncultured bacterium. Its description in RNAcentral is "partial 16S ribosomal RNA". It matches the Rfam family "Bacterial small subunit ribosomal RNA", at positions 524 to 776 of the family's 1533-position model. The record is from RNAcentral.